Molecule: ribosomal RNA, 442 nt
Filed under: uncultured Glomeromycotina
Lineage: Eukaryota; Fungi; Glomeromycota
Description: SSU rRNA
Rfam family: Eukaryotic small subunit ribosomal RNA
Source: RNAcentral
AGCAGCCGCGGUAAUUCCAGCUCCAAUAGCGUAUAUUAAAGUUGUUGCAGUUAAAAAGCUCGUAGUUGAAUUUCGGGGUCAGUAGGUUGGUCAUGCCACUGGUAUGUACUGGUCUCACUGAUUCCUCCUUCCUGAUGAACUGUAAUGCCAUUAAUUUGGUGUUGCAGGGAAUCUGGACUGUUACUUUGAAAAAAUUGAGUGUUUAAAGCAGGCUAACGCCCGAAUACAUUAGCAUGGAAUAAUGAAAUAGGACGUUCGAUCCUAUUUUGUUGGUUUCUAGGAUUGACGUAAUGAUUAAUAGGGAUAGUUGGGGGCAUUAGUAUUCAAUUGUCAGAGGUGAAAAUUCUUGGAUUUAUUGAAGACUAACUACUGCGAAAGCAUUUGCCAAGGAUGUUUUCAUUAAUCAAGAACGAAAGUUAGGGGAUCGAAGACGAUCAGAUAC